CUGUUAAUUGGAAAUCACUAAAAUCAGCCCAUAUUCAAGGUGAGGGGAAUUAGGUUCUACUUCUUGAAGGAAAAUUUUGGGAAUAUCUUUUUAAACUACCACACUGGCUGUCUUUAGAAAUUGAAGAAGGGGCCUCAGAAAAUGAUGUUUCUGCUUUCCUUUGCCCUGUCUUGAUGAUCAAAGAGGGUGUUAGGAGCCCAGCUGAACCGGAAGUAAAAUGGCCUGUGACUCAGAACCAGUCCUGAGGACUCUCUGGUGUCCAGACCAACUUUCUUGAUCAUCUCGUUGCCAUUAUUUUUUUGGCUGGAUGUGGCAAGCAUUGUUCUGAGGUCAGUCUAUGGUUGAGUCUGUCUGGAUCACAUUUUCGGGUGGUGCAUCACACAUCAUGUCUGCUCCCUGGCUCCGACCAACAAGACUUUAAAGAGAUUUUUUAAAAGGCUCAGAAAGUUUCUUGGAUAUCAAACAGCUCUUAUAAAAAUAACAUUUUUAUGACUUAAAAUGUAAAUGAAUCAGAAACAUAUGGAUUAAAUUUCCUUUGAAAUACCCAUGGGUUUAAAAACUGGAGGGAAGAGUGCUUGCAAAAUGAGUUAAAUUGAGUUUUGCCAAAAAUAAAAUGCUUGAAAAAUUGUUGGGGAUGUUUUGC
RNAcentral lists this long non-coding RNA (643 nucleotides) under Felis catus (domestic cat). RNAcentral's name for it is "lncRNA (ENSFCAG00000044009.2)". The record is from RNAcentral. Lineage: Eukaryota; Metazoa; Chordata; Mammalia; Carnivora; Felidae.